RNAcentral lists this ribosomal RNA (798 nucleotides) under Triticum aestivum (bread wheat). Its description in RNAcentral is "partial small subunit ribosomal RNA". The record is from RNAcentral. Lineage: Eukaryota; Viridiplantae; Streptophyta; Magnoliopsida; Poales; Poaceae.
GCGAUUAGCUGUUCCAGGCAUCUUGGUUGGAUGGCGAAGCAAUGAAAGAGAGAACUUUUUUUUUGAAUAGGGUUAGGGGACCGCUAGCACCCCUCCGACGCGCGGCCUCCUCGUGCCGCUCUUCCAGCCGGUCCCUCGGCCUCGUCGUCGCGAUGGCAGAGGAGAGGGAUAACGAUCCUCGACCUCAACCCCAUCUGGUCGUGGGAGGUCGCCGAGGGGGCAGCAAGGGGAGGAGCUGCCGCAGCUACUACGCCACCUACUCCACCGCCAACCCCCUCCGCAGGGUGGCACGGGUCUUCGAGAACAUCGUUGGCUUCGUCGACGUCGGGUAGAGGCCGACCACUACAGGCAACUCCGCGGACGCGGCCGGGGGCGGGUGACGGAGCAGCGCGGCGGUGUCCGCGGUCGUCCCAGCGGCCGUUGUAGUUGCCGCGGUGGCGGCUGCGCAGGCGGCGCCUGCCGCGGCCGGGGAGCACGUGGGCGGCGGAGAAAGGACUUAAUGACUUCUUACUUCUUCUGGCCUUUGCAAUAAAAUAAAAGGCCUCUGUACGAUGCUUUUUCUUCCAACACGGUUUACACCGGCUUCUCGUUGUACCUCUUGAUAACGCAUACGGCCGACACUAACUUCUCGUUUGAGUUCUUGGUCACAGAUACGGCUUACGUGUAAACUACGUUGAUUCCCCCAAAACCACAACCAAAACGUACUCUAUGUUGACUAAAAUGACUGUAUUUGAGUAAAAAAACACUUUAAACAACGAAGUUUCCUACUGAAGCGGACGUUAAAAGUUGAUUUUCACG